This 255-nucleotide ribosomal RNA is filed under the name uncultured Verrucomicrobiaceae bacterium. Its description in RNAcentral is "partial 16S ribosomal RNA". It matches the Rfam family "Bacterial small subunit ribosomal RNA", at positions 1 to 253 of the family's 1533-position model. Lineage: Bacteria; Pseudomonadati; Verrucomicrobiota; Verrucomicrobiia; Verrucomicrobiales; Verrucomicrobiaceae. The record is from RNAcentral.
AGCUGUAGUUUGAUCCUGGCUCAAGAACGAACGCUGGCGGCGUGUUUAAGACAUGCAAAGUCGCGACGGGAUCAUUUUGGUAGUAAUACUCGAAUGGUCUAGUGGCUCACGGGUGAGUAACAUGUGAAUUACAUGCCCUUCACGUGGGAAUAGCCCAGGGAAACUUGGAUUAAUACCCCGAUGGUAUCGCUAAGAUUAAAGGUGGCCGCAAGGCUGUCGCUGAAGGAUUGGUUCGCACCCUAUCAGCUUGUUGGU